Molecule: long non-coding RNA, 828 nt
Filed under: Physcomitrium patens
Lineage: Eukaryota; Viridiplantae; Streptophyta; Bryopsida; Funariales; Funariaceae
Description: long non-coding RNA (PPAT_LNC013592)
Source: RNAcentral
AAUAACAAAAUCCUAAUUCUAAUAGAAUACUAAUAAUGCUCUAAUUAGACCAUAAUAAUGGUAAGCAAGCUUAAUCAAAUUCAAAGAAACCUCAAAGAAAUUUCAAACAAACAAUAAGAAUCCUUAAAGAAAUAUUAGAAUGAUCACAAAUAUCUCUCAAAUAUAUCUCAAUUGAAUCUUAAUUUAAUCAUAGUUAAAAUCCUAUUGGACUUCAUUCAAACUUUAGGCCAAAAUCAAUUAAAUCUUAAAUCUUAAACAAAUCCUAAACAAAUCCUAAACCAAAUCCUAAACCAAAUCCUAAACCGUAAACCAAAUUCUAAACCAAAUCCUAAACCCUAAAUCAAACCAUAAAUCAAAUCGUAAUAAAAUCCUAAUCCAAAUCCUAAACCUUAAAUCAAAUUCUAAAUCAAAUCCUAAUCAAAUCCUAAUCAAAUCCUAAAUAAAUCCUAAAUCCUAAAUCCUAAAUCAAAUCCUAAUCUCUAUCUUAAAUCCAAAAUCAAAUCCUAUCCAAACCCUAAACCAAACCCUAAUCAAAUCCUAAAUCCUAAAUCAAAUCCUAACUAAACCCUAACCAAAUCCUAAUCAAAAUCCUAAAUCCUAAACCAAAUCCUAAAUCAAAUCCUAACCAAAUCCUAAACCCUAUACUAAAUCCUAAACCAAACCAUAUCCAAACCCUAAACCGAACCCUAAUCCUAAACCAAUUCCUAACCAAAUCCUAGUAAUUCCUACAACAGAUUUAAACCUCAAUAACUUAUGAAUAAAUCAUUGAUAUUAACUCAAAAUUUUUAUAAUUUUUAACAACUAAGUUUAAAACAAUCAUAAUUUUUU